AAAAAAAUGGGUACAUAGGAUACAUUAGAAGGUCAUAUUGUCAUGGGAGAUAAUUGUUGUGUUGUGGUGAACUAUACAUUGAAAAAUUUGGUUUUGUGAAAGGUGGAGGAUAGAAUUGAGCAAGAAUGCUAUAAGGUUGGUGAUGAUGUUCCUUUGAUUUGCAUCUUUGAGUCACUUAGCCAAAUAUAUCCUACCUUACCAAAGAGCCCACAUUACAACCUUCAAUAAAGACCUUUUUGAUCUUGGUUAUAGGAGCACACAUUUAGUGGUGGAGAGGUGAGACGAUUGACAAGCUUAUGGAUGAGUGCAUGUUUAGCUUGAACUGAGCGUAUACACGUCCUUUUGAUUGAUACAC
This 355-nucleotide long non-coding RNA is filed under the name Salvia miltiorrhiza (redroot sage). RNAcentral's name for it is "long non-coding RNA (SMIL_LNC000203)". Lineage: Eukaryota; Viridiplantae; Streptophyta; Magnoliopsida; Lamiales; Lamiaceae. The record is from RNAcentral.